GAUGAACGCUAGCGAUAGGCCUAACACAUGCAAGUCGAGGGGCAUCACGGAGUAGCAAUACUUUGGUGGCGACCGGCGCACGGGUGAGUAACGCGUAUGCAAUCUAUCUACAACAGGGGGAUAACCCGGAGAAAUCCGGCCUAAUACCGCAUAACACAGGGGUCCCGCAUGGGAAUAUUUGUUAAAUAUUUAUCGGUUGUAGAUGAGCAUGCGUUCCAUUAGGUAGUUGGUGAGGUAAGGGCCCACCAAGCCUGCGAUGGGUAGGGGAACUGAGAGGUUUGUCCCCCACACGGGAACUGAGACACGGACCAGACUCCUACGGGAGGCAGCAGUGAGGAAUAUUGGUCAAUGGGCGAGAGCCUGAACCAGCCAAAUCGCGUGAAGGAAGACUGCCUUAUGGGUUGUAAACUUCUUUUGUACAGGAAUAAAAAGAGGGACGUGUCCUUCAUUGCAUGUACUGUACGAAUAAGCAUCGGCUAACUCCGUGCCAGCAGCCGCGGUAA
This 503-nucleotide ribosomal RNA is filed under the name uncultured bacterium. RNAcentral's name for it is "partial 16S ribosomal RNA". It matches the Rfam family "Bacterial small subunit ribosomal RNA", at positions 28 to 523 of the family's 1533-position model. The record is from RNAcentral.